RNAcentral lists this unclassified non-coding RNA (400 nucleotides) under soil metagenome. RNAcentral describes it as "partial contains 5.8S ribosomal RNA, internal transcribed spacer 2, and large subunit ribosomal RNA". The stretch from base 1 to 122 matches the Rfam family "5.8S ribosomal RNA", at positions 35 to 154 of the family's 154-position model. The record is from RNAcentral.
GAUGAAGAACGUAGCAAAAUGCGAUACUUGGUGUGAAUUGCAGAAUCCCGUGAACCAUCGAGUCUUUGAACGCAAGUUGCGCCUCAAGCCAUUAGGUUAAGGGCACGUCUGCCUGGGCGUCACAUAUCGUUGCCUGAUGCCAGUUUCCUCGUGAUGGGUGACUGUGCAGGGCGAAUGAUGGCUUCCCGUGAGCAUUGUUGCCUCAUGGUUGGUUGAAAAUUGAGUCCUUGGUAGGGAGCGCCGUGAUAGAUGGUGGUUGAGUGACGAACGAGACCCAAUCAUGUGAGACCCCUACCGAAUUUGGCCUUCAUGACCCACAUGCGUCUUUGGAACGCUCAUGACGAGACCUCAGGUCAGGCGGGGCUACCCGCUGAGUUUAAGCAUAUCAAUAAGCGGAGGA